CUAGAACCGGAUUCUUCAGACAUUUCAUAGAUGAACCAGCACUACUUCUCUCAAACAAACACCCAAAAAGCUCACCGUGUUUCUCCUGCUGCUAACCCACCACCGCCACCACCACCGUCCUUCUCCGCUUUCUCUGCCGCAACCACCGCUAUCGUCCUCCUUCGAUGAUAACUCCGACAAGUGGCGUAGCAUCUUUAGUUUUCUUAACGGUAACGAUAACGGGAAUAGACAUAACCGGCAUUCUUCAGCAGACUUCCGUUAUGAUCCAUUGAGUUAAGAUGAAGCGAACUUCACCAACUUCUCUUCUAGACUUCCUCUGUCGCCGGUGAUGGUGACGGAGCCAGUGAUGGUGAAGGUGAAACAUGUGGGUAUUGCUGAUGCGGCUGGUUUAUGAGUUGUAAUGGUGGUGGUUUUGUUUGUUUUCGUUUUUGGUUAUUUUCGAUUAUUACCUCUUUAUGUUAUUUUUUAUCAUUUUUUACUUUUAUACAGAUAUGUCAUUUUUUACUUGUGCCUAUGUUAUCAUCUAAAAUAGGAACUAUAGAAUUGCUAAUGAAAAUUAUUUUGAUCUGAUGGAGAAAUUUUGCU
This 585-nucleotide long non-coding RNA is filed under the name Capsicum annuum. RNAcentral's name for it is "long non-coding RNA (CANN_LNC010518)". Lineage: Eukaryota; Viridiplantae; Streptophyta; Magnoliopsida; Solanales; Solanaceae. The record is from RNAcentral.